Molecule: non-coding RNA, 883 nt
Organism: Chelonoidis abingdonii (Abingdon island giant tortoise)
Lineage: Eukaryota; Metazoa; Chordata; Testudines; Testudinidae
Source: RefSeq, a predicted model, not a curated record
CUUUCCCGAAAUAAGCAAAGAGAAAAUAACAAACUUAUUUGCAAUUCUUACACUGGUGUAGAGAUUUUAAGUGGGCUGCCUCAAUGCAGUCAAAGAAUUACAAGUUUAUUAUUUUUUGUUUGCAUAUUUGGGGAAAGGGAAAUAGGAAGAGAAAGGCAUAAGAAUGAGUGAGUGACACAGUUGCCAGGUUAAAGCUGUACAGACUGCAGGUAGCAGAAAUAGAGAGAAAACUGAGCAUCAGCUGAAAAUGAAAGAACCGGGCCUAAAGGAGAGGAAAAAGGCUGUCAGAGAGGAGACAGCACAUCAAGUGACUAGAGCUGAAAACCAAGGAGGCUGAGGAAGGAGAGAGAUUGAAAACACCAACUGGACUUACUAGAAAAGCAAUACCAGAACCAUCUCACCCCACUGAUUCCUGUCUCUCCAAAAAUCCACAGCCAGGAGCAGUUAUGUCCUGCAUGUAAGGAGACGGGUGAUAUCAGAAUAUUUUACUACAUUUGAGAGGCUGUGUGCAGCUCAUGUGGUUCCUGAGGACAAGAAAGUCCCCAGCCUAAUUGCAAAGUUAGCUGGUAAAGCUCUUAAUAUACUCCAAUGAAAUGCCAAUUCAGGAUGCUUUAGGUUACUGUAAAUUCAAAAAAAACAAACUAAAAAAACCCUGUUUGAAAUGAUUUUAGAUUACCCCUGAAACACAGAGGGUGACAUUUAGAAAUUUUAAAAGCAAUGCUGAUAUGAGUAAUGGGGAAUAUGUAAACAGGAUGAAAGAUCUAAUGGGAAAGUGGGUGAGGGAGAAAGGUGUUGAAAGUUUUGAACAAAUGUUUGAUCUUGUUGCUCAGUAUAUAAAGAUGAUGUAAAACAAUGUCUAUGGAAUAAAAAUGUAAAAACUGUA